UGUGAUUAUUACAUUUCUCUGUGCCUGAUAACGUAGACAGAAUAAAAAAUAAAUAAUAUAUUUUAUCAUCUAUAGCUAUAUAACCGGAAGUCUACGCCAUUCUGCCGCUGCUGAAACUACAGUUUCUGAAAAGUGGUCGGGCGAAUGCCGGACCUGCCGGACCGCUUGCUACGGGCCUGCACUGGAGAAAGUAUUGGAGAAGAAGACUAUACAGCUACUUCUCAAUACUUAAAAGACUUUUGCAAAGAAGCUGAAUCUCUCUCUAUUUUUGGAAUGUAAACACAUAAUGAUUGCAAUUGAAUUCAAUAUUAUUUGGAAUUUAGGAUCUGAUUUUUGUACUAUAAACUUGCACUUGUUACGGCAUAUGCCAGCGGUUGUAAAGCGAUGGGGACCUCUGUGGGACUUCUCUUGCUUUUGGUUUGAAAGUCUAAAUGGUCAGCUAAAGAAAUUCAUUCAUGGAACUCGAUACAUUAACAGUCAGGUAGCAUUUGCUGUUACGAUGUUUCAUAGCAUGCCAAAGUUAUUGCCAUUACCAAUAAUACACCAUUGUGGGUCAAGGAAUUUGCAGUGAAGCUAGCAAGAAUUGCUCAAAUGAAAUGUUUGAAUUGCCAAAUCAAUCUAUGACUGAUUGCGGUCAUUGCCAUAAGACAAUUGUUCCAUUGCUAUAUCUUGAUCGGAUUAAUGAAUGUUUAUAUUGAUUUCAACAAGGCGUUAUAUCUGACUCAGAUUGGAUCGAUCAAAUGCAACGUUAUAAGAUCAAAGGUCAAGUGUACGAAAAGAAGGGUAUUCAAAGGAUUAAGCAACAAAAUGGAUAUACAGUUGCAUAUCAAAGACAUCAAUGUGACACUAAGUUGUUGGGACACAUUUAUCUAGUGAAUGGACAUAUACUUUUUGUACUUUAAAAAAUGUUGAUGGUUUGACACAAUCCAGUCUUUUAUUAUCAAAAUUACACUUUAGACAAGUACAAAAAUUUUCAACCUGAUCAAAUUCGAACAGUGACUGAAACAAAGAUUUUGUUGUUAUAGAGCAAUCUGAAAUUGUGAGUAAGGUAGUUUACUUAGAUUUUGGUAGCUGCAUGUUCUAUGGAUGUUUUAUUAAUAUUGAAUUUGAUUAAA
Corticium candelabrum is the source of this 1115-nucleotide long non-coding RNA. RefSeq lists it as uncharacterized. The transcript has 3 exons. NCBI's taxonomy places the organism in Eukaryota, Metazoa, Porifera, Homoscleromorpha, Homosclerophorida, Plakinidae. The record is from RefSeq and is a predicted model, not a curated record.